Molecule: ribosomal RNA, 273 nt
Filed under: uncultured Microvirgula sp.
Lineage: Bacteria; Pseudomonadati; Pseudomonadota; Betaproteobacteria; Neisseriales; Aquaspirillaceae
Description: partial 16S ribosomal RNA
Rfam family: Bacterial small subunit ribosomal RNA
Source: RNAcentral
UACGUAGGGUGCAAGCGUUAAUCGGAAUUACUGGGCGUAAAGCGUGCGCAGGCGGUGAGAUAAGUCAGCUGUGAAAGCCCCGGGCUCAACCUGGGAACUGCGGCCGAAACUGUCUCGCUAGAGUACGUCAGAGGGGGGUGGAAUUCCACGUGUAGCAGUGAAAUGCGUAGAGAUGUGGAGGAACACCAAUGGCGAAGGCAGCCCCCUGGGAUGAUACUGACGCUCAUGCACGAAAGCGUGGGGAGCAAACAGGAUUAGAAACCCCUGUAGUCC